This is a long non-coding RNA of Amphimedon queenslandica, 526 nucleotides long. RefSeq lists it as uncharacterized. The record is from RefSeq and is a predicted model, not a curated record. The transcript is spliced from 2 exons. NCBI's taxonomy places the organism in Eukaryota, Metazoa, Porifera, Demospongiae, Haplosclerida, Niphatidae.
AUUAUAAUAACUGUGCUAAAAUGGCUGUUUUUCUUUUCUUUCUCCUGUCUCUGUUUGCCUGUGUCAAAAGUGACUGAGUGAGUAACUGCCAGUUGAGACAGCUACCCUAAACUUCUAUAAUCUUUGAUCAUAAGUGACUAAGGCAGAAACUCAAUAUAGGAGUCACUGUACAAUCAACAGGAGAACUAGAGCAACUUAUACAACUGGAUACUCUACAGAUAAAGCCAUAUGCUACAGCAGAGAACAACAGAAGAGUGAAGACAAGAGAGGCUACCAUUCUUGGCUUGAACACCACAAGUAUGCAUCUGUUAUCACAGUAAUACAAUCAAACCUAUGAAAUCACUUCUUCUACGGAAGAAGUCAUGCAAGUUUACAACUGGUAUUAACAUUAAUUAUUGUUAUUGAAGUGAUUCAAGGAAUGAUGUAUCAUGGUAAAAAUGGGAUUACUAACAACUAUCUAGAUAUAAUAUUAACAAUUGUUUUAGUUCUUUGUCCAUAAUUAUAUCUAGCUAGCAUUGACACACAA